RNAcentral lists this ribosomal RNA (726 nucleotides) under Triticum aestivum (bread wheat). Its description in RNAcentral is "partial small subunit ribosomal RNA". The record is from RNAcentral. Lineage: Eukaryota; Viridiplantae; Streptophyta; Magnoliopsida; Poales; Poaceae.
AUGGAGGGCGAGACGACGCUGGCGACGGAGCUGGACGGGCUGCUGGCCAUGGCGAGGGAGCUGGAGGCGCGGGUGGACGGCGACCAGGGUGCGCCGGGCGCCGCCAGGGAGCUCUGCGCCGAGCUGGCCGCGUCCGUCCACCGGGCCGUGCGCCUCGCCGGGAGCGAAGGCAAUGCCGGCGGCAGGGCGAGCGUGAACGGGCGGCUCAGGAGCGGCAGGAAGGCGGCGGCGGCGGCGAGGGCGCAGGUCAGGGUGGCGUCGAUGCAGGACCUCGGGCCGCUCGACGACGGGCUCAGCUGGCGCAAGUACGGCCAGAAGGACAUCCUGGGCGCACCGUACCCGCGGGCCUACUUCCGGUGCACGCACCGCCACUCGCAGGGCUGCCAGGCCACCAAGCAGGUGCAGCGCGCCGCCGCCGACCCGCUGCUCUUCGACGUCGUCUACCACGGCGCGCACACCUGCGCCCAGGCCACCGCGCUCCUCGCCGGCACGGAGCAGCAGCCGCCUGCUCCCUUCGGCCAGGAGCAGCAGAGCUCGCCGGCUGCGGCGCCGGAAGGGAUGCAGUGGCCGGAAGAGCCCUUCACGCCGCCCUCGUUCCCCUCCUCGCCGGCCGGCUGCUACACGCCGGGGAACUCCUGGUGCCAGCUUGCCGGCAACUACGGCUACGCUGCCGGCGGCGGCCUCGGGGCUGACAUGGAGUUCGACGAGCUGUUCUGGAAUAUGUAG